GGCAGCACAUAUCCCCAAAUUGAAAAAUUGUAAUGACAUAGAAAAGAUUAGCAUGGCCGCUCUGCAACAAAGACACACGAAUUUAUGAAGCAUUUCAUAAUUUC
This is a small nuclear RNA of Arvicola amphibius (Eurasian water vole), 104 nucleotides long. Lineage: Eukaryota; Metazoa; Chordata; Mammalia; Rodentia; Cricetidae. The record is from RefSeq and is a predicted model, not a curated record.